AAAAAAAGAAUGCUAGGGAAUCUAAAGCAAAUCUCUUUGUGGUUUUGCUGAGGCCCACCCCGGCACAGCAUGAAGAUAGCUCUGCAAGCAGCCGUUGGCGUAUCUCCCUCUGAGCCCAGCCAGGCGGUGGAGGAAAUGAAGAGGCGCUCCAGGGAGGGGCACGGCCAAGAGGCCAGGGCGGAGCGGGGAGAGCCGGUGGUGAGCGCAGCUGCCCUGCGACAUGGACGGCCCUUCGCGCUGCUGCUGCUGGCCCAGGACACAGACAGGUUCCUAUGGAAGAAUGAAACACAGCGAGGAGAAGAGAAUUGCCGAUUCCCAGGGGCCUGUGUCUGCCAGCGGCUGCUGAGUACCUCUGAGAAACUCUGCUUUGAGCUAAUAGGAACCCCCUGUUCUGGGAAGAUCAGUAUAUGGAACAAAAACCUCUGGGUGGACCCCUGGGCAAGAUGAAUUUGACCGACCAUAUGUUCCAGGACUCCAGCGAGAACAUCACCACCUCAACGUCAGGCCCCACACUACCCAGCAGCCUAGACACAGCGGCCACAGCUGUUUCUGGCUCCAUUGGUGUCGUGGCCCUCAUCUUGCUCCUGGUGGGACUCUUGUCCGUGACUCUGAAAAAAUGGAGGCAUGAGAGACUAUUUAAGAAACAACAGAAGCAUCAGACCAACUUUCUCCACAAAUCCUUGGAGCUUUCCUGCCAUGCCGAUGCCAUAUAUUCCAACGUGAUCAACCUGGCACCCAGGAAAGAGGAUGACUUCGCUGUCUAUGCCAACGUGCCCCCUUUCAACCGCCCCAGGAGGACAUCACCAGACCACGUGGAAUAUGCCUCCAUUGUAUUUCACUGAUGAGAGGCUCGUGAGAUGCUUCAGAGUGGAGAGUCAGACCUGUGCCUAUCUGUAUCCUGAUGCGGCUUUUGCUCUAGAUAUGUGUGUAUAUGUGUGCAUGUGUGUGUGUGUGUCUUUGCACGUGCCUGUGUGUGUUCAUGCCCGCCCAUGCUCAAAAAACCAUAAUAUGUAUUCUGAUGGAGGUAAAUGACUUGGUAUUUCUUCUAAUUUAUUGGAAGCAAGGUGCAGUUCUAAUGGAAAGGGGUGACAUCUGAGUGACAAGGGACAUAGUCAUUUCAGCCACUCUGAGCCAGAGGCAGGUUCCUGAGAGAGACUGGCCGAAAGAAGAGCCGUCUCUCUCCCCUGCCCCUCAUAAGGCCAGGGCUGAGGAGCAGGGCUCACCCCACUCAGGGACCAGCUCCCGGACUUCGUCUCUGCUGUGCUGCCCUGUAAGGAGCUGACUCCCUGCAGAGGUUAACGCGUGCGUCACACUCAGGUCUGUGGCUGAUCACCACGCACAUUUUCACAGCAGCUUUCCAGGGCCAUGCAGCAAGUGUGGAGGGAGACGGCGUGGGGGAGCUGCAAGUCCAUGGGGUCUCAAAGAGUUGGACAUGACUGAAGCAACUUAGCACGCAAAUGCAAUGGAGAAAAGAAAAUUUCAUUUAAAAACAAAGCUUAUGGAAGCCACUUUCAUCUUCGAGGAUGAUGUGAUUCACAUCGUUAAGAAAACACCUAUUCUACGGAUCCAUUCCAUCUAUAGAGACUGGAGAGGGGAGAUGAAAGUAGGAAGGAAACACAAAGAUUUCCAAGCCUCUGCCUUCUUUUCUAUUGAUAAUGGGAAAGUUCAAGAGCAGGCAACCCUUUGUCUUUAACACAGCUGUAUGAUGACCAGGUACCCUGAUUUGUUGGGGAUUUUCCUGGUGUACAACUGUGGUCCCAGCAAAAUUAUUAUUAGAUCCCCUUUCAUUCUCUAAAUUGUCAUAGUUUGGAUGAUAGAUUAUGUGGUCACCUGUUCACAAGAUUUUGAGAGUGCAAAAGCAAUUCCAAGACCAAUAAGGAAGGGAAAGCAAAGUUGUUUUGUACAAUAAAGUGGGAACGGAAUCGGGGUGGGAGUGGAGGAGGCUGCAUGUACGGUGCCUUGGGGAGGUGCGAGGGCAGUCUGGAGGCCAAACGGAGCUAAAAUCACAUAAAGAUUUCCACCACCAUAAACCUUGGUAAAGCCCAGUGAACACAACAAUUCCUGGUGCGGGUAUUUAGGGGAAGGGGGCACCAUGGAAAGGGAACCGAAGUCUACAUCUAGGUCAGCACAGAGCAGAAAUAAAGGGAAGUGGUAAGAGGUGCAAUAUGAAUGAGCUGGACCGUUCAGAGGAAGGCUGAGCUCAGAGCCGGAAGAGAACACAAGAAUGCAAACUCUCUGAAACUUCUCAGAAAUCUCAGGGAGGGGACCAGAGUUUCGGAAGAACCUACAGUUGGGAGGUUAACAACGGUAUUUAAUGGGUAGUUUGACCUCAGCAUGAAUCUGGGUUGUAAAAUUUAAACAGCUUCCUUUAUGGUGAGACUUCUCAGAGGCUUCAAUAUGUAAUCUACUUCAUGAAUAAAGUCCUUCAUGAAUAAAGCUCUCUUUUGUUUUCCUAGGGAGCAUUCCAUAGGGCAGGAAGUAAUCCUUGUAACAUCCUGUGGGAAGGCUUUUUUAAGGGGCCACCUGCCCAGGAGGCACUGUCACAGGGAUCUCGGGUGGUGUGGGCCUGGAACGGCUUGCCGUGAAGCCUCUGUUCCCGGCCAGAGGUUGGGGUCAGGUCACGGCGGUGAGAGCACCAAAUUCCGGCCACUAGACCAGUGGUCGGUGACAAGGCCCUGCCCCUUCAGCUUUGAGGCAGAAGAAUUUCCACAAAGAUGGAAAGUAAUGUUACAAAGUAUUUAUUAGGAAGAAAAAGUACAGUACUUAUGGAUAGACAUACGAAAGAGAGAGUCACACUGUCGUGGUGGUUUAAAUCAUUUGUAUGGGACAUUUCUUCUGGGUUUCUUUUGGCCAGUCAUUCUGAUUUGCCUGGUUCAGAGUCCGUAUUUGGUUUAUCUCAGUGUCCUCCUGUGUGU
This is a long non-coding RNA of Bos taurus (domestic cattle), 2915 nucleotides long. Lineage: Eukaryota; Metazoa; Chordata; Mammalia; Artiodactyla; Bovidae. The record is from Ensembl.